Molecule: ribosomal RNA, 483 nt
Filed under: uncultured bacterium
Lineage: Bacteria
Description: bacterial SSU rRNA
Rfam family: Bacterial small subunit ribosomal RNA
Source: RNAcentral
AUGAACGCUGGCGGCGUGCCUAAUACAUGCAAGUCGGACGCAAUGCUUCGGCAUUGAGUGGCGAACGGGUGAGUAAUACAUAAGCAACCUGCCCCUGUGAGGGGGAUAACUGCUGGAAACGGCAGCUAAGACCGCAUAGGCAUACAUGACGCAUGUCGAGUAUGUUAAAUAUCCUACGGGAUAGCACAGGGAUGGGCUUAUGACGCAUUAGCUAGCUGGUGAGGUAGAGGCUCACCAGGGCGACGAUGCGUAGCCGGCCUGAGAGGGUGGACGGCCACACUGGGACUGAGACACGGCCCAGACUCCUACGGGAGGCAGCAGUAGGGAAUUUUCGGCAAUGGGCGAAAGCCUGACCGAGCAACGCCGCGUGAAGGAAGAAGUCAUUCGUGAUGUAAACUUCUGUUAUAAAGGAAGAACGGCGCCUGUAGGGAAUGACAGGCGAGUGACGGUACUUUAUGAGGAAGCCACGGCUAACUACGUGCC